This 230-nucleotide unclassified non-coding RNA is filed under the name Hevea brasiliensis (rubber tree). The record is from RNAcentral. Lineage: Eukaryota; Viridiplantae; Streptophyta; Magnoliopsida; Malpighiales; Euphorbiaceae.
GCCUAAAUGCAGGCGUGCAUGCAAAAAUAAGUAAAUAAAUAAAGUUUAUUAAAAAAUUAAAAUUAGAUUCAAAUAAUCAUAGAUUUAUCUCUAUCUAAUCAAACUUCUCAAAAUUAUCAAACUACUGAGCAUCAAUAAUCACAGAAAAAUACAUAAUAUGAAUAUAGACAUCAUCAUUAAUAUCAUUUUAUUUUUCUCUUAAAGAGAACACUAUAAGAACUUGUUAGAAA